This 449-nucleotide ribosomal RNA is filed under the name Enterococcus mundtii. RNAcentral's name for it is "bacterial SSU rRNA". It matches the Rfam family "Bacterial small subunit ribosomal RNA", at positions 71 to 507 of the family's 1533-position model. Lineage: Bacteria; Bacillati; Bacillota; Bacilli; Lactobacillales; Enterococcaceae. The record is from RNAcentral.
CUUGCUCCACCGGGAAAAGAGGAGUGGCGAACGGGUGAGUAACACGUGGGUAACCUGCCCAUCAGAAGGGGAUAACACUUGGAAACAGGUGCUAAUACCGUAUAACAAUCGAAACCGCAUGGUUUCGUUUUGAAAGGCGCUUUACGGUGCCGCUGAUGGAUGGACCCGCGGUGCAUUAGCUAGUUGGUGAGGUAACGGCUCACCAAGGCCACGAUGCAUAGCCGACCUGAGAGGGUGAUCGGCCACAUUGGGACUGAGACACGGCCCAAACUCCUACGGGAGGCAGCAGUAGGGAAUCUUCGGCAAUGGACGAAAGUCUGACCGAGCAACGCCGCGUGAGUGAAGAAGGUUUUCGGAUCGUAAAACUCUGUUGUUAGAGAAGAACAAGGGUGAGAGUAACUGUUCACCCCUUGACGGUAUCUAACCAGAAAGCCACGGCUAACUACGUG